Molecule: ribosomal RNA, 707 nt
Filed under: uncultured organism
Description: bacterial SSU rRNA
Rfam family: Bacterial small subunit ribosomal RNA
Source: RNAcentral
UGGACUCUGCGUGCAAGCUGAUGUCAUGCGAUGGGGGUGCGUCCUAUCAACUAGCUGAGAGGGUAAUGGCCUACCAUGUCGACCAUGGGUAGCUGGUCUGAGAGGAUGAUCAGUCCCACUGGGACUGAUACACGGCCCAAACUCCUACGGGAGGCAACAGUGGCGAAUUUGCGCAAUGGGCGCAAGCCUGACGCAGUAACGCCGUGUGAGUGAAGACGCCUUUCGGGGUGUACAGCUCUGUCAGUGGGGACGAAGGUGUGGUGAUGAACAGUUGCCAGGCGUGACGGUACCCACGAAGGAAACCCCGGCUAACUCCGUGCCAGCAGCCGCGGUACGACGGCGGGGGCGAGCGUUGUUCGGAAUUACUGGGCCGUAUAGCGCACGCAUGCGGCGUGCCACGUGCGAAGUGAAAGCCCUCGGCUUUACCUGGGACUGGCUUCGCAGACUGGUAAGCUUGAGUAGUCCGAGGGGGACGCCGAAUGCCUGGUGGAGCGGUGAAAUGCGUAGAGAUCAGGAAGAACGUCGGUCACGAAGGCGGCCUCCUGGACGAACACUGACGCUGAGGUGCGACAGCGUGGCGAGCGAACGGGAUUAGAUACCCCGGUAGUCCACGCAGUCAACGAUGGACACUAGGUGUGGGAUCGGGAAACGGGUCCGUGCCGGAGCUAACGCAGUAAGUGUCCCGCCUGGGGAGUACGGUCGCAAGG